Molecule: ribosomal RNA, 450 nt
Filed under: uncultured Glomeromycotina
Lineage: Eukaryota; Fungi; Glomeromycota
Description: SSU rRNA
Rfam family: Eukaryotic small subunit ribosomal RNA
Source: RNAcentral
AGCAGCCGCGGUAAUUCCAGCUCCAAUAGCGUAUAUUAAAGUUGUUGCAGUUAAAAGCUCGUAGUUGAAUUUCGGGGUUAGUAGGCUGGUCGUGCCACAGGUAUGUACUGGUUUCACUGAUUCCUCCUUCCUGAUGAUCCGUAAUGCCAUUAAUUUAGUGUUGCGGGGAAUUUGGACUGUUACUUUGAAAAAUUGAGUGUUUAAAGCAAGCUAACGCUUGAAUACAUUAGCAUGGAAUAAUGAAAUAGGACGUUCGAUCCUAUUUUGUGGUUUCUAGGAUUGACGUAAUGAUUAAUAGGGAUAGUUGGGGGCAUUAGUAUUCAAUUGUCAGAGGUGAAAUUCUUGGAUUUAUUGAAGACUAACUACUGCGAAAGCAUUUGCCAAGGAUGUUUUCAUUAAUCAAGAACGAAGUUAGGGAUCGAAGACGAUCAGAUACCGUCGUAGUCUUAG